AAAAAGGAGAAAUAGCUGCAAAUUUAAUUUUGCUAAUGAAUGAUCUCCCCUUAACCAUAUUUCUAUUCCUUUCAGGUCACAUAAAAUGUCUAACUUGCUGUUAUGGUGCUGUUUUCCAAUAGCUGAGAGCCUUAGACUAUGUCUUUGAGAAGGAUAUUUGAAGUGGGGAAUAGUCUCUUUUUUUUAUGGCUUUUCUGCAGUAGAGAUUCUAUUUUUCUUGCAAACUUGUUUCCAACUGAAAAAGGAAUCCAGCUUGUUUCCUACCUCUCAACUUAUUUUUUACUUAGGUUCAUAGUUACUGUUUCUUGCCUUAUAUUGUCAGCAGAAGAUGGAUUGGUCUUUUGAUGCCUUUCUGGGAUUUUUUUAAUUAUGCAAAAUAUUUGGCAUGGUAAUAUUACUUCUUACAUGAUUUAGUAUUUUAUUUUUCUUGCUGGGUGCUUAGCAAGAUCUUUCGGUUAGUUGCUGUCACAUUUUUUUCCCUUCAAAUGUUCAAAAUAUCUCAAGUUAAUGGAAUUGGUUUAAUAUGAUAGGAUGGCCGUAUUCCAAAGAGAUGCUAUAUUUGGGUGAUGGUUAGGCGUAUGCCUUUUACUGGCAGUUUGGCUUUAUAGGUAUUUGUUCGAACUGGUGCUUACUCGGAACGGAUCGAGGAACAAAGAGAAGGGGCAAGGAGAGGGUAAAACAGAGGUUAAGAGAUUGUGAAGUUGAUUUAAUUUUGUCAUUUGCCUCUGGUGAAGAUGGGGAUGGGUCUGUGAUCAUUACAACUUGGUGUGUAGGUAGAGAUUUGCAGAUGUGUCAGCUCAAGCAAUGGCUGAGAAUACAACCAGCCAGAAAGUGAUCUUGAUUACAGUUUUCACCUUAUGCAGUUAUUUCCUGCGGCGCUUACUAGGUUGUAUUCUCUUGCAUUUAACCUGGUUCCAUUUUUCUUAGCUUUCUACGAUAUUCAAACUGGUAUCCUUUUCCUCAAAACAGGACCCGGGAUAAUAUUUGCCAAUCCUUUACUUGCAAGCAAUCAGUGAUCACCUCACCUGGUCUCCUGUUAAUGAUGCAUUGAUGCAGUGGUGUCUGACCUUUCGAAUUAGAAGCAUUGAUGUUUGCACCAUAUUGUAGGAGUAGCUCUACCAUGCCCAUGUCAGCAUUUAGGCAGGCAAGGUGAAGCAGAGAACAACCAUCUGUAAAAUCCUUUAUGACCUGAUCUUCAGUUUUAUUUAAUGGCUUCACAUAGCUUGCCAAGGGCUUGUCCAAAGAGUCACCUGCAAAGCAAUCAAACUUCAGGUCAAGGUUUUCCUGCUCUUCGUACUGGAUUACAAAGGUCAGAGAUGAGGAUGUACUGAAUGAUGCUUGCCCAUGGAUGGCAUUGACAUCUACUCCUGAGCAGACAAUUUGGCGGUAAACUGCUUUCUUGUCAUUGGCAUGGACACUUUCCCACACCUGUUGUGCCACUGAAAGGAGAUUCUUGUCGUCCUUAAUCGUGCGCAUAAAUAUUUUUUCUGCAUACUGCAUUGCAAGCUGUCAAUUUUGGCUCCCAACAUGAUUAUCUAUCAGCAGAGUGGAAAAGCAUGAGCCAAAUGAACAUCCAUAACAGACACAGACAGCAGAAGGCUGAUAAUGAGAUGUGCAUGAUAUGAAAGUUGUGAGGAAUAAUUGGCAUUUAGUGUUAGGGACUUUUAACAUUCUAACUUUUUUUUUCUUUAAUAACUUUUGUUUGUGUGAGUACAAAUGUUUUACCAAUGACCAGUUACCAGUCAUAUGAACAAAGGUUCCAAAAUCAAUGAUCAACACAGAUUUGUAAGAAGCCACAAAGACAUUGUGCGU
Hevea brasiliensis (rubber tree) is the source of this 1812-nucleotide long non-coding RNA. RefSeq lists it as uncharacterized. The transcript is spliced from 3 exons. The record is from RefSeq and is a predicted model, not a curated record. Lineage: Eukaryota; Viridiplantae; Streptophyta; Magnoliopsida; Malpighiales; Euphorbiaceae.